GCAUAAUCACUCGCCCUUUAAUUGGGGGCUGGAAUGAACGGACACACGAAAGAUACACUGUCUCCUUUUUACCCUUAAAAACUAACCUUCAGGUGAAGAGGCCUGAAUUCUAUAAAAGGACAAGAAGACCCUAUUGAGCUUUACUUUUAAACUUACUUUAUAAACUGCCAGCAAAUUAACCUAGUAAGCCUAAAGUUUGGUUGGGGCGACCGAGGAACACACUAAACUUCCUUUUAAUACCUAGCUAACUAGCUUAUCAUGAUCCGAUUUUCGAUUAAAGAAAAAAGCUACCAUAGGGAUAACAGGCUAAUCCUCCUAGAGAGCUCCCAUUGAUAGGAGGGG
RNAcentral lists this ribosomal RNA (342 nucleotides) under Ophelina acuminata. RNAcentral describes it as "partial 16S ribosomal RNA". It matches the Rfam family "Bacterial large subunit ribosomal RNA", at positions 1959 to 2517 of the family's 2925-position model. Lineage: Eukaryota; Metazoa; Annelida; Polychaeta; Opheliidae. The record is from RNAcentral.